UCAGCUGGUUUCUCCUGCUGAUUUAAACCUUGUUGUAGAGAUGGAACUUUGGCUGUGGAUUAUUCUCGCUGCUCUUUUCUUUGAGUGUAAAGGAGAAGACAGAGUGAUCCAGCCAACAGGAGAUGUCAUUGCUACUGAAGGAGAGACAGUUACACUCGGUUGUAAAUUUGAGACCAGUGACACGGGACCCACUCUGUUCUGGUACAAACAAGAAGUAAAUGACUUCCCAAAGUUCAUGUUGAAAUGUUUCUCAAAAACAGUAAAAAAUGCUGAAGAGUUCCCAAAAGACAGAUUUAAUGCUGAACUCAACAAGACAUCAGUUCCUCUGAAGAUCCAGAAGCUUCAGGUGACUGACUCUGCUGUGUACUACUGUGCUUUGAGGCCCACAGACUAA
This is a non-coding RNA of Xiphias gladius (swordfish), 394 nucleotides long. NCBI's taxonomy places the organism in Eukaryota, Metazoa, Chordata, Actinopteri, Istiophoriformes, Xiphiidae. The record is from the annotation of a RefSeq genome assembly.